GUCAGAGCUCGCGCAAGAAGGUGGGACGUAAGGGAGACACCAUUUACAACACUUGUAAGGGCGUAAUAACUAGUUUGUGAAAGAACCAGAGAAACACAAAUAUCCGACGAAAAAAAAUCCCGGACGUUUUUAGAAUCCCUGCCGGACGCAUUUUUUAGGUCUCAAAAAGAGGAGGUCCUGUCACCCUAUAUAUCGUCUUGUAAGUACAAUGAUAAUGCAUUAUAGACCUCUAAUGUGUUAAAUCGUCAUGACCUGUGAAUCUGUAACGUUUCAUUCAUGUCUCACAAAGUGAUCACUUCUGUUUCUUCCGAAACUUCUUCUUCAUCUUUGAGUUUUUCGUAAAGUGAACGACAGACCUUGUUUAAAUUUAAACAUUCUUCAAUAAACGGCUUCUACCGCUUUUGGUUCAACCUUAAUCGGCACUAGCUCGUUAGCAGCUAAAUGACCAUCGAUCACACUCAUAUUUGAGUUAUUGGACAUGAAGCUAGCCGGUUAGCUUAAAUUAAGGUGAAACGGAAAGUCUGGAUCUGUUUUUCAAAUUUGUGUUUUAUGUGUGAACAACAAGGUAUUUUACCAACACAAACAAUUUUCACUUUUAUAUUCAGUAUACAUGGUCCAUGAAUACAAAUACAGGGUGCACACACACAUUUACUCUCAAUGCUUAUUUGCAUAUUGUAGAACGCUUCACUGUGACCUCAGGGUAGAACGUUUCACCGGGUUCCGUGUUCUAGCUUCCUUGUUCCAGGUUCCAUUCCCCACAGCAUAAGAACACACUGUGUGUCAAAUUCAGUCAGUUAAUUUCAAGCCAGAGGACUUCACACACUGAAGUGGAGCAGCAGAAAACGCCCAAAUUGAUCACCAAAACCUGCAAGGACUUUAUCCCGAUGUGUUUGAGAGUCGACGCCGACGACCGUCCCACGCUGGAGCAGCUCGAGAUCCACCCAUAGCUCAGAUAAGUCAACGGCGCACACACACGUUCUCACGCAAACGCUCUCACACAGACGGUCUCACGCAGACACACACACGUAGUUGGCAUCACGUAGUCGCGCACACAUAGACGCCAUCGCGUAGACACGCAUGCAUAGACGCCAUCGCGUAGACACGCAUGCGUAGACGCCAUCGUGUAGACCCCCUCACGUAGACACGCACACGUAUACUAUGGCGGCAAAUCACUGUCAAAAUUCGAGAGCGCAAAUCAGCUUGAUGCGCUCGCGUAAAUCAUACAUCCGCGAGCAAAACUUCCGUCUCGCGAAAGAUAUUUGCUCGCUCGCGGAACGUGAACUUCCUUGCGAGGCUAGUCUCUGCUUGCGCUCGAAGGUGUUUUCUACGCGCUCGCUGUUGUUCUUUUUGACAGUAAGGGGGCGGUACGGUGGCCCUGAAGUACAAAACACAACGGCAAAUAGGAAAACACAAUGAAAUGAACUCCUUACGGAAAGGGUAGGGGCUUAAGGCUGGCGCAUGCUUCUGCAUCUGCGUCGUUGUGUCGACGCACUCGUUUCAAUUCAUGGUUCUAAAAAGUCUUGCGUGUGUUGCAGAGCAAUUCACCGCCAGAACAACAUGCGGAGUAACGUGUUUUGUUGAAGACGACCUAGAGAGUCACGUCUUUGUGUGUGGAAUUAUUUAUCAUAGACUUUAUUGCCCCGUGCAUCGCCACUGCUGCUUUUCGUCACGGAAACAUUUGUCCCGUAUUUUCCUCCACAACUUUGUGCACCUCUCGACCGGCAAACCGGCGUUUGCAGCGAUCUCCCUCCGUGAAUCCAACCCGCUUCUACAACCCGCCAAUGACGGCUUGUAUAAGCGCUCAUAUUCACGCAUUUCUUCCGACAAAAGUUCUUCAAUCUGAUCCGUUCUCUCGUAAACACUCUUCGUUUUAAUAAUGGCGGUAUCGGGCUAUGAAAGCGGAAAUGUGAGUCUCCGUAACAGACGUAGUUAGCGGACCAAUCGCAGCCUUGUGCGCUGCGGGAGGCUUGCCCCCCCCGCCCCUUUUAUUUACUUUUAUUUACAACACCUAAAUAUAAUUGAACAACAAAACACCUUUAAAACAACGGUGAAACACUAGUAGGACUAGUAGAUGGCGAUGUUUUACACUCGUAAAACAUCAACAUCUCUCCAUGACUUUCUGCUGCGGCUCUCCUGCUGCACUCACUUCCCCCCCUCAUCACAGGCUCUCAGUCCCGCCACUGAUUUACUGAUUGACAUAAUAUCUAGAAAGCGGCAUUUCUCAGAUUUCAAAAUCCGAUUGUGCAAAUAGUUAAAGGAGUCACGGUAAUUUGAAUCCUCCAUGUCACUUUCCGUCGCCGGCGAAAGGCUUCAGAUUAAGAGUGUUAAAAGACAGACACAGUCCGUCUGUCCAAUCAGAAGGGCCCGUCCUCUGCAUCCUGCUAUAAGGCUGGACAUUCUAGUCAAAGGUGCGCUCACAUUUCGUCACGCGGUGAGACGCCGUAAGAGAGGAAAACGGGCCGGCUCGUUGGUGAGACUCCGCAAGCGUGGUUCUCGCACACCGCUGCCAGGCAUCUUUCUCUCCAACAUGCACUCACUGUGCAACAAACUGGACAAAAUUCAGCUGCUGGUGAGGAGAGACGAAGACUUCUCUACAUCCUCCGUUCUGUCCUUCACGGAGACAUGGCUCUGCGGACCGAUACCGG
Molecule: long non-coding RNA, 2645 nt
Organism: Gasterosteus aculeatus aculeatus (three-spined stickleback)
Lineage: Eukaryota; Metazoa; Chordata; Actinopteri; Perciformes; Gasterosteidae
Source: Ensembl